This 73-nucleotide non-coding RNA is filed under the name uncultured Vannella. Lineage: Eukaryota; Discosea; Flabellinia; Vannellidae. The record is from RNAcentral.
GGACUUGAACAAGUACCUGGGCAAGCGCCUGCUUGUGAAGUUCAACGGAGGCCGUGAAGUUGCUGGAACGCUG